GUCCGUAGCCUCUCCCGUCCUUCCUAGCUUGCCCGCCGGCCGCCGGCUCCACCGGAAGCCACCGCCCGUCUUCCAUCUCCGAUCACGGCAGACGCACGAAGGAAGGCCCACAACACACGCACAGAAGAAACAGAGCUCAAUCCUGGAAUCCGAACUUCAUUUUCGUUGAUUCGAGGUUCGCCAGAGGUGAAUCAACGUCGAUUCCAGUGUUCAUGACUUCGAUUGCAGGUUCCGGUGUCCUCUGGUUGCAGUUCCGAUCGUGUAUUCUGACUGCGAGGCGCUCCUUUGGUUCCUUCUUUCGCUUCAGUGAUCGGUGGAACCGCAUAGAAAAGGACGCCCCGAUUCAGUUGACUCCAACCAUCACUUUGGAAUCUUCUCCUCACCGAUUGAGCUCUUCCACUUCUUGGUCUAAGUCAAGCCCAAGAGUCGUCCUCGUCAAAUGAAUGUACGAAUACUGCUCAGGCAGUGUUCGACGAAAUGACCGAAAGACUAUCCGUUAUUCUGUCCCGUUACUGGCCAUUAGAAUCAAUGCUAUAAUAGUGAGGCUGUGCUCGCUGUCUUGAAAGUCGCUGAGUCGUCAUCUCGAGCUCACGCCGUCCUCGCCACCAAAUCAUCAGGUCGUCUCUUCUCCAAUUAAGCUUUGUUGUUGGUGUCGAUUUGUUCUCCACUGGCCUCUCUUGAUCUCUGCUCUGUUCCUUUUUUUUUUCUUUUUUUUCGUUUUUUUUUUUGGCUCGCCUUUCGCUUGACUGCUUCAUCGUCAGACAUUUGCUGCGUCGUCGUGCGGGGACACUCCUCAUAACCAAAAGGCAGAAGCGGGACUGCGACGGUAGAAGCCAAGGAGAUGCGGUCGCGAUUGCUUUCGAUAAUUCCGCUUGCGUAGCUCACUGCAUCAGAGGGAUCGAGUCGACUAAAACCUUCCACGAAGAACAAUAAUCAUCGAUGCAUCACACGUAACGAUAAUCAUCAAUGUGCCGUUCCGAUACGAGCAAGGUCAUCUAGAAGCAGUUUCGCCUGGAUAGCAAAAUGGCCGAAUAAGAAGGAAGCAACGGCGGGGCAUCAUCAGCUGGAGCUUGAAUUCAUGGAAACGAGCAGUGAUGGCAAUGAUCUGCAUCUGGUGCGGCUGAAGGUCUUUCUGGCAGAGACAUUGCUAGCCGAAGGCAAUGAACGUGACUCGGUAUCUCUGUCUACUCCGAACUCAGCGUCUAGGCGGAGCGAGCGCUCCUUUCUUCGGUCAGAUCAACUGUUGCGGUAAUUGGGCUGAUGGGUCUGGGCCGCAGAUCAGAUC
Molecule: long non-coding RNA, 1285 nt
Filed under: Eucalyptus grandis
Lineage: Eukaryota; Viridiplantae; Streptophyta; Magnoliopsida; Myrtales; Myrtaceae
Description: long non-coding RNA (EGRA_LNC004023)
Source: RNAcentral